CAGUCGCCACGGGAAUACAGAGGGUGCGAGCGUUAAUCGGAUUUACUGGGCGUAAAGCGUGCGUAGGCGGCUUUUUAAGUCGGAUGUGAAAUCACUGAGCUUAACUUAGGAAUUGCAUUCGAUACUGGGAAGCUAGAGUAUGGGAGAGGAUGGUAGAAUUCCAGGUGUAGCGGUGAAAUGCGUAGAGAUCUGGAGGAAUACCGAUGGCGAAGGCAGCCAUCUGGCCUAAUACUGACGCUGAGGUACGAAAGCAUGGGGAGCAAACAGGAUUAGAGACCCCGGUAGUCCCUGUCUCUUAUAC
This 301-nucleotide ribosomal RNA is filed under the name uncultured bacterium. RNAcentral's name for it is "partial 16S ribosomal RNA". It matches the Rfam family "Bacterial small subunit ribosomal RNA", at positions 509 to 807 of the family's 1533-position model. The record is from RNAcentral.